This 319-nucleotide ribosomal RNA is filed under the name uncultured eukaryote. RNAcentral's name for it is "partial 18S ribosomal RNA". It matches the Rfam family "Eukaryotic small subunit ribosomal RNA", at positions 1470 to 1796 of the family's 1831-position model. The record is from RNAcentral.
CCCUUAGAUGUUCUGGGCUGCACGCGCGCUACACUGUCGGAUUCAGCGAGUCAUAUCCUUAACCGAAAGGUUUGGGUAAUCUUUUGAAAGUCCGACGUGAUGGGGAUUGAUCAUUGCAAUUAUUGAUCAUGAACGAGGAAUUCCUAGUAAGCGCGAGUCAUCAGCUCGCGUUGAUUACGUCCCUGCCCUUUGUACACACCGCCCGUCGCUGCAACUGAUUGGGUGACCUGGUGAACAUCUUGGACCGGCCCACUCAAUUUCGAGAGGACUGGAAAAGGCCGUAAAUCAGGUACAUCUAGAAAUUGCAAAAGUCGUAACA